GUUAGGAAUCUUCCACAAUGGGGGCAACCCUGAUGGAGCAACACCGCGUGCUGGAUGAAGGCCUUCGGGUCGUAAACAGCUUUUGUAUACGAAGAAUAUGACGGUAAUAUACGAAUAAGGGUCGGCUAACUACGAGCCAGCAGCCGCGGUCAUACGUAGGACCCAAGCGUUAUCCGGAGUGACUGGGCGUAAAGAGUUGCGUAGGCGGCUUAUUAAGCGAGUAGUGAAAUCUGGUGGCUCAACCAUCAACACAUUGCUCGAACUGAUAGGCUUGAGAAUGGUAGAGGUAGUUGGAAUUUCUUGUGUAGGAGUGAAAUCCGUAGAUAUAAGAAGGAACACCAAUGGCGUAGGCAGACUACUGGACCAUUUCUGACGCUGAGGCACGAAAGCGUGGGGAGCGAACCGGAUUAGAAACCCCUGUAGUCC
This 426-nucleotide ribosomal RNA is filed under the name uncultured bacterium. Its description in RNAcentral is "partial 16S ribosomal RNA". It matches the Rfam family "Bacterial small subunit ribosomal RNA", at positions 354 to 796 of the family's 1533-position model. The record is from RNAcentral.